Molecule: long non-coding RNA, 4286 nt
Organism: Gallus gallus (chicken)
Lineage: Eukaryota; Metazoa; Chordata; Aves; Galliformes; Phasianidae
Source: Ensembl
CACAUUCCCACUCACAUAAGUUUAAAAGCAUCUGCUAUACUGCUGAAUGUGGUAUACUGCUGAAGAGUUCCUUUGGACAGCAAAGUAGAAAGCCUGAUGAUGCAGAAGCUUACAGGAAAAGCUUCAUUUCAUAUUUCAAGACAAAUGACUUACAACUUCCACUGAGAAGUCAGACCAAAGGUCCAUCUCUCUGAUUAUCCUGAAUUCUGCAAUGUCUAAGUACACCUAACGAAUCACAACAGAGCCAAAAUAUAUGGCAUAUCCUAUCAACAUUUUUGUACCUUCUACCUAUUUUCAGCUUGAGACAUUUCUGAGCCAUAAGUGGCUUCUAAGUAUUUAGUAAAUAUAUACGGAUUUGUCUUCCUUGAACUCAUUCAGUUGUCCCCUACGAGUAUGCAAAAUGCUUAGCCUUGACAGCAACACUGAAGGAGGAGCUGCCAUCUCCUCAACAGUACCAAUGAAUCUUCAGAAUGAGAAUCAGGUCUUACACUGAAGUUAAGAAGCAUAGAGCAGAGCAGCAAGGGGUACUAGUACCUGGAGUACCUGGAGAAAGAGAAUAUGUGUUACCUUCAGUAAUACACCACCGUCCCUGCAAUUUGUCCUUGUACAGUCAUGUUGCACUUUGCCAUUAAUACGUCCUCAGCUCUCACCAACUGCAGCUAUGCAUUAUUUCCUAUUUUUUUCUUUUCAAAAUAAUGUUCUGCACUACCAUUUCUAAAAUGCAAUAAAGAUUCCUUACAGAAGCUCUAAAUCAAAGGCUAGAUUUGAGAAUACUGUUACUUCACAAAAAUAUUCAACAAAAAUGGUAUUUAAAUCUUAAUAAUAACAAUGUGGUAUCAGUUGUCAUGUGCUAGAGUGUUCGGCGUUUAUUACUGAAUAAUUUAAGAUCCUUACAUGCAAAUUGUUCUGACAGACAUAAUUUGAAAACAAACACUGGCAUUUGUUUUGUUACCACCACUGUUGUUUUCAAGUACAAUUUUUGCAGCAUAAAUAAAAACAUACUUACAUUGUGACUAGGACAAUGCUGUCUACAAAAUUCCCAGUGGUUUGGCAUUUGUGAUUCAUUUCUCUUCAUUCUUUAAAGCAUUUAUACAUGUAAUGGUUUUGAACUGUUAGCUCACUUGUAAUGUUGACAAAUUCUUAGUAAGCACUCACAGAUUAUUAAGCUGAACUUUCUAUUGCUAUUUAAAGGAUAAACAAAAUGUCAGUUUACAGUUUUAUGAAAAGGCAUGUUUUGAAAACAAAGAAAUAUAAAAGCUUUCAUGUCCACAAGGAUUUGAACAUACAAAAAUUAUCUGAAGUCAGAAAAUCAUAGAAGGAUACACUAUGGUUAUCAUAUUAAAAAAAAAAAUCAGAGGUCAGAAAGGGGAAGCCUAAAGCAACUAACUAGAAACUAAAACUCUGUGAAGGUUUGUAACACCCAGAAAAGAUACAGAUUACCUCAAAAUUAUAUAUAAGCUCCUACUGUGUGAAAUCCCACAAAAUUUAUAUCGUGGUAAACAAGUAGGAAAAAUGAAUAAGAUUAUCUCAAUUCCAAUGGCUCCAAUUUUUUAUGUAAUCAAUUGAACACCAGAACUGCUUCACACUCAGGUACAUCCCUAAAGAGAACUAAACUGCUCACUCAUUAUUAGUACUUAAUCAGCUUGGUGCUGCCUGUUGGUUUUCACUGGUCUUAGAAUGGAGAAAGGACUGCAGCACAUUUCAGAAUUUACACUAGUCCAGAUGCUGCAAGGACAAACACACUGCUAUAUAAAGAUCUUCAAGUUACUCAAAAAUCUUUGAAUUCAUUUGCUCCCUUUAACAUCUCCUCUUGUAUGCACCAUAACUCCAUAAGAAACUGUAACAUUUAGAAUUAAAGUAUGUUCUUUAAAGAAGCAGUAGAGAAAAUAAUCUCCAAUUUUAUUGAGAAAUUUCUUUUCGGUAUGCAAAUAUCAUAUCAGACAGUAGGGGGCAACUUUAACCCACAAGUCAUACUUUAUGAGUUCUGCUAUAUAAGGACAUGAAAUGGUAGUUUCAAUAUUUACCUAAGUUUGUUGUGUGGUCUGUAUCAAUUUUGUAAAAUGUAAGGUUUCAUUUUUUAACCCCUGCUUUGAUCUCCAGGCAGUAUGCUGAGGAAAUAUCUGGUUUAUAUAGCAGAAAAAAUGAUGCAAGGUAAAAUAAGAAACUACACUCUCAAAGCUCUUGAGAAACUGAUGGACAACUACAUUCACCUAGCUUACUGUCACAGGGUUUGUGAGAAACCAACCUCAUAAGCAUAUAUUUCCACACUUGCAAUUUGGCAAGCAAUGCUUUCUUGAUGAAGCAGUUUAUAAAAGAAGUAAUUUAACAACCUAAAAAAUAGAGCAGACAGUAACAUAAAAGCUAUUAAAAUCAGCAAAAUAUUCAUUAAUGCUGUUACCAUGUAAAAUUAACUGUGUUUACCAAUAAAUCUUUAUUUAAGGAUAAAUUGGUGUUCUAUGUUGCGUGUCAUGUUUUGUAUCACCUGAAAAAUAAGUUUUGUUCUUAAUUUCCCAGGACUGCAAAUGCUAACUACACAGGCAUGGCAUCAGAGGACAUAAGAAGUCAACAGAGUAUUUCUUCAUUGCAUAAUUACGACUUGUGGAUUAGAAGAGUAUAACAGUUAUGGAAUUUAAUAUGCUAUUAAUUGAUUUCCCUUUAACAUUCACUCUUAAAAUUAUCAUAUUGGUGAAAGUUGAGUGAAAGUAUUUUCACAUCAAAUCCAGCCAAUUGGAACACCUAAAAACCCCUAUAGCCCAGAGCUGGCCUUGAUAGAAGGUUCACAAAACAAAGUGGUUAGGCCUGGAGUGAGAUUUAGCAAAUUUGGGGCAAAAUCAUGAUUUCAAGUAAAGGAUGUCAAACACUGGAAAGCAACUCAUACAGAACUUCAUGCUCCAUUUAAGCUUCAAACAUGAGGGUAAAGUACACUGGAUGACAAGCUACAAUAACAAAGUAAGAAACUGAUUGCAGACCUUUCUUAUGAAGUGCCCUGAGACCCUUCAAUAACACACUACGGAUCUGCUUUUUUUCAGCAAUGCUAGCAAUUACUUCUCUGAACACAACCCCACCUUAAAACAUAAAACUUCUGUUUCGGUUAGUGCACUUAAGCUGUAUUUUUCCUAAUAGACAGAGCAUAGCAUAAACAAGGAUUACAAGAUGUGAAAAACAUCCACCCUCCAGCAUUUCCUGAAAUGAACUUACAUUUCAUGUUAAUACUCAAAAAGCAUGUGUAAGUGGUACCAACCAUACUACAUUAGAAAGAAAACUAAUCAUUAAAACACAGAAACAACAACAACAACAAAAAAACACAACCACCAAGCAGACAUUUUACCACCAGAGAUUACUACUUCAUGAUCCUAUAAUUUGUGCCCUUUAACAACUUACUGUUUGGGGCUUUCUUUUCUUUUUUUUUUUUUUUUAACCCAUGGCUGAGAAACAUCUUGCUAUUUUACUGUCUGAUGGGACUGAAUGCCAUGCGAAACCAAACCACUGAUUUCCAUUCCUUUUUCAUUAGGAAACGAGGAGGUGCAAUUCCUCUGGCUGAGAUCAUGUCAUGCUGGAGGGACGGCCUGCCAGACUGUGCUAGGUUAUUCUGAAAUUAGGGAAGAGAAAGCACACAUCUGGUUAAAUAUGCCCCAUAAGUAAGGUGACAGCAGAGGCUUUUGGAAGCAUUUUUCUUAUGUAAACACCUUAUGAGAAUUGGCUCAAUGUGAAAAGAGAUGAAAGGACAAACAAAAUCUCACAUACAGAGCUCAGUAUUAAAGCUCAUUUCAUCAAGACCACCAUUUUCUCUAUGAUGUUUGCUUUUUCCAUUUGCCUGUUUGUUAUUUUUUAGUCUAUCUCCAUUACCCAGCAUGACUGCAGUGUGAUUUUCUCCGCCUCAGACUCAUCCCCCAGUUUCCUUGCACACACAACAAUCUAUUUUCCUCAGGCACUCAACAUCUACCAGCCACUUCACUUACUGUAGGCAUACUCAGCUUCUAGGUCUUUGAGGUUCUCCCUCUACUUCCUUCCUCCUCACUUGCCCCAGCAACAGUCAGGCUACUUACUGGUGUGCUCCGACCUCAACCUUGCUGGCAAUGCUCAGUGCCUCUCCUCAGUGAGGGGAAAGCCCCAGUUUGAGCUGAAUCAAGGGAAGUUAUGAAAGCUUGCUUGUUCUUUCUGUUUUCUCCCAGAUCAUGGGCACUGAUGUGUAGAAUUAGCUUAAACGAUCACUGCUUUCCACAACAUGUGGGAUCCAUCAAUAUCUAUACAGAGGUUAUGUUGCAGGAUUCUGUCCUAUUUGUCAG